RNAcentral lists this ribosomal RNA (301 nucleotides) under uncultured bacterium. RNAcentral's name for it is "partial 16S ribosomal RNA". It matches the Rfam family "Bacterial small subunit ribosomal RNA", at positions 509 to 807 of the family's 1533-position model. The record is from RNAcentral.
CAGCCGCCACGGGAAUACGUAGGUGGCAAGCGUUGCCCGGAGUUAUUGGGCGUAAAGGGCUCGCAGGCGGUUUCUUAAGUCUGAUGUGAAAGCCCCCGGCUCAACCGGGGAGGGCCAUUGGAAACUGGGAAGCUUGAGUGCAGAAGAGGAGAGUGGAAUUCCACGUGUAGCGGUGAAAUGCGUAGAGAUGUGGAGGAACACCAGUGGCGAAGGCGACUCUCUGGUCUGUAACUUACGCUGAGGAGCGAAAGCGUGGGGAGCGAACAGGAUUAGAUACCCCCGUAGUCCCUGUCUCUUAUAC